CCACAGCCUGGGCUCAGCAGUCACGCUCCCAUUGAAGUCAGUGGCAAGAUUUCUACUCACUUCAGAGAGUAAACAACUGCACAAGUUAACAUCAAGAGUUUUCUGCUGCUGUUGCUUUCAUAGCAGCUAGAACAAAAGUUCUCUCCAAUCCAUCUGAGUGAAGCCUACAUAAACAAGGACUUCUGCAGCUCUGUCAGAAGAAAAGCGUGACCAACUCCCGCAAACUGUGUGAAUCUGCAUGGCAGGCUCCAAAGCACGUUAACAUUGUUCCAUAGGAAUCCCAAAAGGCCCUGCAGGAGCCUGCAAACUGCAACAACAGAAUCCAACACUUCUUAGAGGAAAGCACAGAUUUAGUCUAAUUGAUUUUCAUAUGGGGAAUGUUCCAUAUUUGGGCAUUUUGCAUAAAGGCAAAAGUUUCAAAACAUCUGGAAACAGCAAAGUCCAGAAACACCAGGGAUCUCUGAGCUGUUAAUUUUGAAGUAAUGUAAAUUACUAUAGACCAACUCUGUAGGCCUUUGGGAAUCUAGCUAGACUUCACCAUUUUUAAUAUCUAGACUCCAUAUACUUUUGCUGGUAAGACUAUCCCAAGUGGGCCUAAAUGUCCAAACAGGAACCAAAUAUGCCCAGGUGACAAACUUGUACAAAGAAGUGGCUUGGGUGUGUGUGGUAAUUUAGUGGCACUUUUUAUUGGUUUGUAGCAUGAUGAAUGGAACUAGACAAAGAGGGUCAGGUUUCAGGAGAGACUUAAUUUGAUGUGUCACUAGGGGGCUCAGGAAUACAAGCAGAGGCCAAGCUCCUAUCUCCCCUUCUGUACAGCCUCAACAUGAAACACUGACCGCUCUGGAUACUCAGUAAAGAUCUUUCAUAUACUUCUGCUGCACCACUUAUUACUAAUGAAAAAUAGCCAAUGCAGAGGGCGGAGACAGAGACACACCAUUCCACAGAUAGCUCAGGACGGGAUUGUAUUCUCCUAUAUGUUCUCCUUUGAUCAAGGACUUUUUACUGAAAGAGCACAUUUAUCUGAGCAUUUACACUGUAUUAAUAUGCCAGGGAGAGAUCCAAAGCAAAGAAACUGGAAAAGGCCUCAGUACUUCAACUCUUUCAAAGAGAAAAUAUUAAACUUCCACUUGCCUUUCUUGUAUGUAAACUAUUCUAUGCUAUGAAUAGACCACCCUAUCUGACCCAUCCUGGGAAACUAGAGCCUUUGGAUUGCUUUGCUUAUGCCACAUCAAAAUUACACACAACAAAUUUUAAAGAAAUGUCACUAAACUGAUAACCAAGUGAGAAAAAGCAAGUAGUAACGUGUGGGAGCAAAGUGAAAAUGGGAAUAUCUAGGUGAGGUAAGGGGAUAAAUAACCAUCCAAUAUCCCCUAGAACCCAGAAUUUCUCUUAGGAACCCAACAUCUAAGAUCACUCAACUUCAACAAGGAAAGAAAAGCGUUAAAGAAUUAGUAACAAUAAGAGAGAGAGAAAAAAGAACCUUCACUCAAAUAACAAAAUUAUACUGAAUUUAAGAGAACUAUUCCCAUAUGGCACCUCUUAGAAGGAACCCAGUACUGUAAUACAAAUAUGACUUACUAUCAGGACAAAUGAGAUUUCUUUGAAGAUUUAUGGGUUUUCUGCUGAUGGUAAUGGCACAGUUUCCAUUGCCUCAUAUGGUAAUCUGUUGGCAUGGACUGUGCUCUGAAGUGCCUGGAUAGUAAAAACCCAAGAAACUGUCACAGUAAGAAUUACACCACAAGUUAUUGUUUUUAAGAGUAUCUGUCUGAGUGAAGGAACAGGAGUAACAGCAAGAGGAAGGCAGCUAGGUAGUCUCUGGAUAAGGGAAAGUCAAAUAACUGUGUCAAGUUAGUGUAUGCACUCAAGCAUGUUAGAUUACAGGCCACAUGAAAUGGUAAAUUCUAGAUAUCUGUUACUGCAUAUUGCUAAUUAUAUUAGGAAAGAAAUUUUACCUAUGUUAGUGAAAAUUAGCAAUACCUACAAUUAGUCAUCUCAUUUAAGAGAUAGAGAGGCGUGUUAAAAUUGUAUUUACAAGUGAGUAGGAGAUAUCCAUUUACUGUUACAUAUUCCUCCGUGACAAAGAAUUGCACCAUCAGCCAUCUUUUUGAGAAGGAGCAAGCGAAUGAGAGGGGAAAUCUACAGUCACUAACACAUGGCCAGACAGUCUCUCAUCCUUAACUUAGAACCCACCUGAACACCAGAGUUUUUAGAUUUAAACCAGAACCUUUGAGGAUCCAGUACCAUUUGGUUCAGGUAAAAAGCAAGUUCUGGAUGCUCUAAAAUUUAUCUUAUUCCUUAGCAGUAGAACAAGGAUUACUUUCAAACACUCUUAAUUGUUUACAUAGCUUUUACAGCUAAAUGGAUGUUUGUGCUAUAUUAUACUAAACUGAUAAUUUACUGAAAACAAAUUACAUUUCUUUUUGCAAUAAAUCAAAAAUAUUUCACACAACCCAACAUUUUUGGAGGGAAGAGAGGGAAAAGGGAAUGAUUUUAUGGUAUCAAAUAACUGUUGUUUCUUUUGUUCUAAUUGUGAUAUUUUCUCUUUUUUGCCAUUCUGAUGUGCAUGUCGAGCAAAAAAUAAACUAACAAACCAGAGAGACUUUCAGAAAUGCUCAGCACUGGCCUAACUCCACUCCAAUUGACAUCAAUGGCAAUACUGCCAUAGAUGUCAGUGGGUGCAUAGUUAAACCAACAAUGAACACUUUUGAAAAACCUGCCCUGAAAGUGUUAAGGGAUUAUUGUGAGGAUGCUAUCUCAAAUAUCACAAUACUUUUCCACAGCCAUUAUCAUGGAUUAAAUCCUGAACACAAAUCUCACAUGUAGGCCCAGUGAAGGUGUCGGAGUAGGCCCAGGGUAGGCUUUAACAUGUGAAGGAGACAACUUGAUUUCUACAAGACUACUUAUGGAUGUAAAUUAAGCAGGAUUUUGUCCCAGGAGUUGCUCUACAACAGUAGUUCUCAACCAAGGAUGGGGGAAUCAAACUAGGAGACAAAGGAUUCCCCCCAUAUGCUAAAGCUAUUUAAGGCAGGGGAGUGACAUCAUUGUGGUUCGUUCUUCACUGACUCCCUACCCAAGAAAGAAGACUGCUUGAAACACCUGAGAAACAAGAAGACUGAACUGGGGGGGAAGGGCUGAACCCAGGCUAGAGGUUGCCUACCCUGUGAAAGGAAUAACUGAGUUUUAAGCUGUAAGGAAGUGCAGCUUGCCUUCAAGAAUCCCUGCAA
Molecule: long non-coding RNA, 3224 nt
Organism: Mauremys reevesii (Reeves's turtle)
Lineage: Eukaryota; Metazoa; Chordata; Testudines; Geoemydidae
Exons: 4
Source: RefSeq, a predicted model, not a curated record